Molecule: non-coding RNA, 249 nt
Organism: Cicer arietinum (chickpea)
Lineage: Eukaryota; Viridiplantae; Streptophyta; Magnoliopsida; Fabales; Fabaceae
Source: RefSeq, a predicted model, not a curated record
UGGAACACUGCAUGCUGUUGGACAUGAAGAGCAAGUUUAUGUUGGUGACAAGCCUACAAAAAUACUCAGACUAGAAAUCAAAAUGCAUGGGGGCGAAACUAUCAAAGUCACUUUAUGGAGAAAUAUAGUUGCUGAUUUUCAAAACUUAUUUGUCCAUCACAAGCUACAUGAUGGUCCUAAGGUUGUUGCAAUAACAUCAACAACGGUUAAAAAAUUUAGAGAUGACUAUUCAAUCAACUCAACUUCAAC